AUAAAAUGACUUUGUGUCAGGAAUUUUUAACUAUGAAUUAUAUCCAAAGAGCAAGAAUCGUGGAACACAUUGGUACAAAUAUAACUGGAUUAACCAAUUGACACAAGCACGAACUUGUUAGAUUUAUGACAGUAUAUUGAGUUCAAAAAGUCGGCAAACAUACACUUAGAUUUACCCAUGGCUAUUGUUUUUUUGUUAACAAAAAGCAAACACCUUCUGUCCCAAUACCCUCAAUAGAGUCAUUAAACAACUUCUUUUUUGUUUAGUUCGUGUUUUACAUAUUAAUUAUAUUUGCAUCUAUAAGAAGAAUCAUAAAAGCACCAACCCUAUUAUUUUCAAAACUGUUUGAGUUUUCAUUUUAUUCUGUACUCAUAAUUCUUGUGUUGCAUACCAAUGCAUAUUUGUUCCAUUUUAUGGAGACAAAAAAACAUAAAUUUGGUGAAGGAAGUCCAACUGAAGAGAGCAUUUCUCGUAUGUUUAUGCCGUUUACUAAAAAUAGGUUGCUAAAGCAGCAAUUACAUGUAGAACCGUGAGUGGUUGUCAACACUAGAUUUUUAUUUAAGAUUUGAAAAAUUAUGUACGAUUCCUUAUAAAUACGUAUAGAUUAUAACAUGCCCUUUUCCAUAUUGGCCCUGGUAUCAUCCCGAGACUCCCAUAUCGGCCUCGAGGCUUUAGCCGAGGGCCGAUAUGGGUCGAGGGAUGAUACCCGGGCCAAUAUGGAAAAGACAUGUUAUAAUCUUUUUAUCAC
RNAcentral lists this long non-coding RNA (748 nucleotides) under Mytilus galloprovincialis (Mediterranean mussel). Lineage: Eukaryota; Metazoa; Mollusca; Bivalvia; Mytilida; Mytilidae. The record is from RNAcentral.